RNAcentral lists this ribosomal RNA (279 nucleotides) under uncultured bacterium. RNAcentral describes it as "partial 16S ribosomal RNA". It matches the Rfam family "Bacterial small subunit ribosomal RNA", at positions 506 to 784 of the family's 1533-position model. The record is from RNAcentral.
UGCCAGCCGCCGCGGUAAUACGAAGGGUGCUAGCGUUGUUCGGAAUUACUGGGCGUAAAGAGCAUGUAGGCGGAUGAAUUAGUCAGAGGUGAAAUCCCAGGGCUCAACCCUGGAACUGCCUCUGAUACUGGCAAUCUAGAGUUCGAGAGAGGUGAGUGGAAUUCCGAGUAUAGAGGUGAAAUUCGUAGAUAUUCGGAGGAACACCAGUGGCGAAGGCGGCUCACUGGACCGAUACUGACGCUGAGACGCGAAAGCGUGGGGAGCAAACAGGAUUAGAUA